GUGGCGAACGGGUGAGUAACACGUGGGCAACCUGCCCUCCACUCUGGGAUAACUCCGGGAAACCGGGGCUAAUACUGGAUAUGACCUUCUGGCGCAUGCCGGUGGGUGGAAAGUUUUUCGGUGGAGGAUGGGCCCGCGGCCUAUCAGCUUGUUGGUGGGGUGAUGGCCUACCAAGGCGGUGACGGGUAGCCGGCCUGAGAGGGCGACCGGCCACACUGGGACUGAGACACGGCCCAGACUCCUGCGGGAGGCAGCAGUGGGGAAUAUUGCACAAUGGGCGAAAGCCUGAUGCAGCGACGCCGCGUGAGGGAUGACGGCCUUCGGGUUGUAAACCUCUUUCAGCAGGGACCAAGCGUGAGUGAGUGUACCUGCAGAAGAAGCACCGGCUAACUACGUGCCAGCAGCCGCGGUAAUACGUAGGGUGCGAGCGUUGUCCGGAUUUAUUGGGCGUAAAGGGCUCGUAGGCGGCCUGUCGCGUCGGGAGUGAAAGCCCACUGCUUAACGGUGGGUCUGCUUUCGGUACGGGCGGGCUAGAG
Molecule: ribosomal RNA, 536 nt
Filed under: Actinospica sp. 645335
Lineage: Bacteria; Bacillati; Actinomycetota; Actinomycetes; Catenulisporales; Actinospicaceae
Description: bacterial SSU rRNA
Rfam family: Bacterial small subunit ribosomal RNA
Source: RNAcentral